CCUACGGGAGGCAGCAGUGGGGAAUAUUGGGCAAUGGGCGCAAGCCUGACCCAGCAACGCCGCGUGAAGGAAGAAGGCUUUCGGGUUGUAAACUUCUUUUCUCAGGGACGAAGCAAGUGACGGUACCUGAGGAAUAAGCCACGGCUAACUACGUGCCAGCAGCCGCGGUAAUACGUAGGUGGCAAGCGUUAUCCGGAUUUACUGGGUGUAAAGGGCGUGUAGGCGGGACUGCAAGUCAGAUGUGAAAACCAGGGGCUCAACCCAGGGACUGCAUUUGAAACUGUAGGUCUUGAGUGCUGGAGAGGCAGACGGAAUUCCUGGUGUAGCGGUGAAAUGCGUAGAUAUUAGGAGGAACACCAGUGGCGAAGGCGGUCUGCUGGACAGCAACUGACGCUGAGGCGCGAAAGCGUGGGGAGCAAACAGGAUUAGAUACCCGAGUAGUC
Molecule: ribosomal RNA, 443 nt
Filed under: uncultured bacterium
Lineage: Bacteria
Description: partial 16S ribosomal RNA
Rfam family: Bacterial small subunit ribosomal RNA
Source: RNAcentral